GUGGGGAAUAUUGGACAAUGGGCGAAAGCCUGAUCCAGCCAUGCCGCGUGUGUGAAGAAGGUCUUCGGAUUGUAAAGCACUUUAAGUUGGGAGGAAGGGCAGUAAGUUAAUACCUUGCUGUUUUGACGUUACCGACAGAAUAAGCACCGGCUAACUCUGUGCCAGCAGCCGCGGUAAUACAGAGGGUGCAAGCGUUAAUCGGAAUUACUGGGCGUAAAGCGCGCGUAGGUGGUUCGUUAAGUUGGAUGUGAAAGCCCCGGGCUCAACCUGGGAACUGCAUCCAAAACUGGCGAGCUAGAGUACGGUAGAGGGUGGUGGAAUUUCCUGUGUAGCGGUGAAAUGCGUAGAUAUAGGAAGGAACACCAGUGGCGAAGGCGACCACCUGGACUGAUACUGACACUGAGGUGCGAAAGCGUGGGGAGCAAACAGGAUUAGAUACCCUUGUAGUCC
RNAcentral lists this ribosomal RNA (450 nucleotides) under uncultured bacterium. Its description in RNAcentral is "partial 16S ribosomal RNA". It matches the Rfam family "Bacterial small subunit ribosomal RNA", at positions 354 to 796 of the family's 1533-position model. The record is from RNAcentral.